Molecule: small RNA, 117 nt
Filed under: Marmota monax (woodchuck)
Lineage: Eukaryota; Metazoa; Chordata; Mammalia; Rodentia; Sciuridae
Source: RNAcentral
GCCAGAUUCUGUGGCAUGCACCUGUAGUGCCAUCUACUCAGGAGGCUGAGGCAGAAUGAUUGCUUGAGCCCAGAAGUCUGAGGCUAGUCUGGGCAAUACAGUGAGUCUUUUUCUCAA